This 493-nucleotide ribosomal RNA is filed under the name uncultured bacterium. RNAcentral describes it as "partial 16S ribosomal RNA". It matches the Rfam family "Bacterial small subunit ribosomal RNA", at positions 28 to 507 of the family's 1533-position model. The record is from RNAcentral.
GACGAACGCUGGCGGCGUGCUUAACACAUGCAAGUCGAACGGUGAAGGGACCGGUUUUUGCUGGUUCUGGAUGAGUGGCGAACGGGUGAGUAACACGUGAGUAACCUGCCCCCUUCUUCUGGAUAACCGCAUGAAAGUGUGGCUAAUACGGGAUAUUCUGCGCCUGCUGCAUGGUGGGUGUGGGAAAGAUAUUGUUUCGGUGGGGGAUGGGCUCGCGGCCUAUCAGCUUGCUGGUGGGGUGAUGGCCUACCAAGGCGGUGACGGGUAGCCGGCCUGAGAGGGUGGACGGUCACACUGGGACUGAGACACGGCCCAGACUCCUACGGGAGGCAGCAGUGGGGAAUAUUGCACAAUGGGCGCAAGCCUGAUGCAGCGACGCCGCGUGAGGGAUGGAGGCCUUCGGGUUGUAAACCUCUUUCGCCAGUGAAGCAGGCCUGUCCCUUUUGUGGGUGGGUUGACGGUAGCUGGAUAAGAAGCGCCGGCUAACUACGUG